Long non-coding RNA from Vespa crabro (European hornet), 1289 nucleotides. RefSeq lists it as uncharacterized. The record is from RefSeq and is a predicted model, not a curated record. NCBI's taxonomy places the organism in Eukaryota, Metazoa, Arthropoda, Insecta, Hymenoptera, Vespidae. The transcript is spliced from 2 exons.
CGCUAAGCUGAAGGUAUGACCUCAAGCAGGCUAUGUUAGUAAACAUGUAAUAGUGUAAAGGACACUGCAGAUGAGAUUCGCAUCGUUUAUGGGAUUGAUACUACGACUAUUAGAAUCGAAGAAAUUUAGAGCUGGCAAUUUUGAUUUGAAAAAGAUGAAGACCGCAGCAGCCGCCCAGGAACGACAGAUACGGACCUCAUCAAGAAUAUGCUCGCUGAAAAUCCGCAAGAUAGUGGAUGCCACUAAAAUUCCCAGGACAACGGUACAUGAUCAUUUAAUCAAGAUGGGAUAUAUGAAUUGGUAAAGUUUGAAAUUUCACGCCAAUUAACAGAGACCAACCUUAUGAACCACAUUUCUACGUGCGAUCUGCUUCUUUAGCAAUAUGAAAAAAAUCCUUUUUUAAAGAUCCUCGUCACUGGAAAUGAGAUUUGGAUUUUAUAUCAAAAUGUGCAUUUUCAAUGCACAUUGGUCUAAGGAAAAUCGACCUUCAACUGUUGUGAAGCUAGGAUUUCAUCCAAAAAAAGAAAAAGAAAAACUUAUGGGACACCUUAAUAUAUAUACACACACAUACAACGUAUAAAAAGAAAUUAUAUUAUUCUGUUAUACCAGUUCGACAAGCCUAUCGAUUUUCUUUCGUCAUUUCGCUUAGUCGAAUAUAAAAAAGGAAACAUCGCAAUGGAGGAUUCAGCGAACAAAAUCAAAUGGAUUGUCAAUUGAAAAUACAAACUGAAAUGAUCAGAUCAAAGGUAAAGAAAGUGGCGCAAUAAAAAGCGAAAGCUUCAAAAUCAAAAUCAAUUUAUCCUCCAACUUUUGAAAUGGUAAUUGUCGCCAUUAAAAGAGUUGAAAGAUCGUAAAGGUUCAAGCAAUUAGAAAAUAUGUUGUAGCAACUUAUACUAGUUGACGGUAAAAAGAUAUAACGCCGUUUAUAAAGAAAUAUUUGAAGAAUGCUGUAUCUAAUUGUACGGUCGUGCAAACCAGAGAUAAGGGAGAUUCAGGAUCGUUUAAAAGCUUUCACCCGUGGUAAAAAGCGGUAAUGUAAAAGCAAAGGAAAAACGCAUUACCAAAGGAAAAGAAGACUAUUAUCGACAAAUCUAUUGAAAAGAAGAUAAGUGACAGCUCACAAGACAUCAAUAAGUUUCGUUAAAAAACCUGUCGAUAAAAACAGGUCUUCUGAAGUUGUUACUAAAAACAAUUCUAAAGCUUUUACCAUUGUUGCUACUGCUAUUGCUGCUGUCGCUAAAAAAAAAAAAAAAGAUUUCGGAAAAAACGGCACAACCGAGAGAACUCUA